Molecule: ribosomal RNA, 253 nt
Filed under: uncultured prokaryote
Description: partial 16S ribosomal RNA
Rfam family: Bacterial small subunit ribosomal RNA
Source: RNAcentral
ACGUAGGGUGCGAGCGUUAAUCGGAAUUACUGGGCGUAAAGUGUGCGCAGGUGGCCGCGCAAGUCGAGUGUGAAAUCCCCGAGCUUAACUUGGGAAUUGCGCUCGGAACUACGUGGCUCGAGUGUGGCAGAGGAAGGUGGAAUUCCACGUGUAGCGGUGAAAUGCGUAGAGAUGUGGAGGAACACCGAUGGCGAAGGCGGGUUGCUGGGCUGACACUGACGCUGAGGCGCGAAAGCUAGGGGAGCGAACGGGA